GGGCAGUAUCCACAAAUUAUCUUAAAGAUGGGGGAAAUGUGUAGCUAGUGAUGGACAUUACUUUGAAUAAAGUACUUUUGAUGUUUCCUUUGAAAUGAUUGUGUUUUCUUUGAUUACAAAAUGUGCUUUAUUCACCAGUACACCUGGUAAAUAUGUGAAAACUAAAUA
This is a long non-coding RNA of Pipistrellus kuhlii (Kuhl's pipistrelle), 168 nucleotides long. RefSeq lists it as uncharacterized. The transcript has 3 exons. NCBI's taxonomy places the organism in Eukaryota, Metazoa, Chordata, Mammalia, Chiroptera, Vespertilionidae. The record is from RefSeq and is a predicted model, not a curated record.